RNAcentral lists this long non-coding RNA (3476 nucleotides) under Fragaria vesca (wild strawberry). Its description in RNAcentral is "long non-coding RNA (FVES_LNC003645)". The record is from RNAcentral. Lineage: Eukaryota; Viridiplantae; Streptophyta; Magnoliopsida; Rosales; Rosaceae.
UCUCAAGUGUUUUUAAGUAGUUCGAGUUCCCCUUUUCUAAAACUGUUCCAUUCUUAGAUAUACUUCAGGGUUCUACAAUAUAUGCUUUUACACCUCUUGUAUUAUUUUUUAGUUGAAUAACUAAUUAAAAAGAUAAACCACACAUAAUCUAGGAUGACAUCUUAGACUGUUAAGUAUCUGUUUGUCUGAAGGGUAUUUCAUCCUUUCCCAUUUCCUUACUUUCUAUGGGGUGUAACAGUAUCUGUUUGUUUGAAGGGUAUUUCAUGGUUUUCCAUUUCUUUACUGUCAAGAUCCACCCUGAAUUUUACCCUGAAACCCGAGGUAAGUCUUGCGGAGUCCACAUCCAAGGAAAAUUUAUUGAAAAUUCGGCAUAAUCUACCUUGAAAAUAGACAACCCUUACCUGAAAAAUCCUAGAUAACACUUCUAUUAUCAAUCAUCCAUCCUCAACUCCUGGAGCCUUCCUGCUCCCCCAGGUUCAUCACAUAUUCCAAUAUAACAAUUUCUCAUCUAAAAUAAUUCAACAACCAACAACAGACAAAUAAUAAUUUACUGCUGGACUUUCAGAGCAUAUCUAAAGAUGAACGAAAAACAAUGAAUAUAAAAUGAGCAUAAGUAGCCUCUGACUAUGCCUCGACUCUAUGUACGCUCGACCUCAAUUGAACUUAGCCUGCAAACUGGGCAUUUAAAACCAAAGGGCCUAGGGGAAAGUAAUUUAAAAACGUUAGAGUGAGUGGACAAAAAUAAAUUAAACAAUUUAACAAAAUACGUAAUUUAAAUACUUUCUCACGUUCAGUUUUGAAAAACUUAGCUGCACACAACUUUCCUAAAUCAUAUAACUUAAAUUCCAGAAACCCAAUAAAAUGGACAAAUCAGCCCUGCUGGUUAAUUAAAUAAAGAAAUCUCGUGAGAAGAGAUAAACCAGCCCUGCUGGUUAAUCGAAUACAUAACUAAGAAGAAUAAAAUAAGGGGAAGAGUUAUCACCAUGUAAAAGGAGCCUCCCAGGCUAUAAUAGCGUCUCACGCUAAGCACUCAACUCACAUAUGAUGAGGACUGCUAAUAAAGCUAGCUAGCAAUAAAUAAUAAUAUCCGAUCGGUGCCUCCCAGGCUAUAAUAGCGUCCCACACUAAGCGCUCUACUCACCUAUGGUGAGGACCGCUAAUAAAGCUAGCUAGUAAUGAAAUAUAAACGACUCUAUAUUAUGGUGACUAAAAACAAACGAAAUCACUUAAAUCCAUUAAACUUCCCUAAGAUCAUAUGAAUGGUACGGUUCCCAAUCGUACUUGAAAAUCAUCAUAAGAAAUUAUAUUAAAACUCAAUGACGUGUCUCACACGUCAAAAUAUUCUCAAAUCCAUAAUAUAAACGAGUUUAAUUAACAAGUAUAAAUUGUAAAUAAUUCCUCACUCCGAAAAUACUCGCUAAAAAUAUUUUCAAUGCCAAGAUUGAAAAUCCACAAAUAAACGAGAUAGUUAUAAAAAGAGAAUUACCGAAAUCUCAUUUUCGGAAAUCUUUUAUAAAUCUCAAAGUCCACCAUUUAAACAAUCAUUAUAAUGAAAUCCGGAAUUUUAUAAAGAAUAUCCAAACUCAAAUAUCAAAAUAAUAAUCCGAGCUCAAAUCCACAAAUCAUGACCAACACUUAGUCAAUGCAUCAAACUCAAAUAAUUUUCAAGAUCAUCUCAUAAGCCGAAAUUAUAAUAUAAGCUCAGAAAAUAAAAUAAUAAAUUAUAAAAUCUUGCAUGCAUAUUUCUUUAAAACCAAAAUAUCCACUCACAAAUUUAGGCAUAAGCCCGCCGAUAUCAGCAUCACCACUCAAGUGAGGUUCCCUUCGAAUCCUGGCACAAUAAAUAUGCUUAGGACCAAACUUCAAUUCCGGAAAAUAAAUACUUAAAUAUAAACACCCAAAUCUUCUCCGCUUAAUCCACUACCUUAACUAGGAUUUAGCUCAUCGGAUUCAUGCCAAACUCCAACCACAACCUCACUUCAUUUAUUUCAACCUUCUAAACAGAAAUAAGGGAAAUCCAACGGUAGGAUCUUUCCAAGAAACUCACCGAUAAACCCAACCUCGAAUAAUCCCAAACAUAUUCUAGACUUCAUCAUAAUUCUCAAACUUCACACCAUUGGACUCCUCUCGUCAUAACCAAAUUAAAUAACACAAAAAAACUACCCAAAAGAGGCGGCAGCGGCGGCGGCCGGUAGCCCCUACUCCGGCCACCUCCGAUGAUCACCAAAUUUUAGCACAAUCCUCCUCUCAACAUUCUAAACAACUUUCAUAAUUAGCACAAAGUCCAAUUUCAAGCUUGAACAUGCCAAUCGAAUCAAAACACCAAAAAUCUCAAAUUCAAACCCUAGAGUUUUAAAACUUCAAAUCUCCUUACCUAGAUCAAGGUAGGUUGAAUCCUUUUAGGGGUUUGCUGCUAGAAGGGAGAGCUUCCAAAUGAUACCAACAGCUCCGACUAUAGUGGCCGGAAAAGGAAGUUUAUGGCGAAACUCCACCACGCACAACCGUGGCUUUCGGGACUGAUUUCUCCUUCAUGGCGACGCAACACGAUCAGCCACCUAUCUAGACUUGAAGAGGAUGUUCCACGCUUCGAUUUGAUACCUAGCUCGCCCCCUAACUCGGCCGGACGGCGGCAGACGGAGGCGAUAAAGUUCCGGCAGAAAUUUUGGAAUUUCUGGGCAAAUUCUAGAAUUAUCCAGAAAUGGGGGUCUGACUUGCUAUUUAUAGAACUUGAGUUUCUUACAAAUUACCAAUCUGCCCCUGAUUUUAAACCCUUGUAACUUUUUCGUACAAACUCUGAUUAAAACGUGCCACAUAUCCACGAACUCGAUUUAACGUCCUCUACGACUUUCAUGAAGAAAGUUUUCUCAAAUUCCAAAUGGAAGAAAAAGUCAACUUUUGGAGUCUUAAAUAGUAAAAGGUUUACUUAAAAUAGUAAAAGGUCAAAGUAACCCAAAAGUAAAUAACUGCAAAUUUACUUAAGAACCGGGAUGUGACAUUUACACUCCAUGGGGGUGUGGGAGAACGGUCAGACGAUAAUUCCUUGGGUUUGUGUUGUGACGUAUAAGGUUUGUGUUGUGACGUAUAAGGUUUGUGUUGUGACGUAUGAUAUGCUCAUAUUAUCCUAUAUUUCUAAGCCCUUUAAUCUUGAUAUUUGUGUUUAGUUCUCUUCUUUAUGACUUAUUUAUGUUAAUUUAGUGUUUUUGUAGGUUUGUGUCGUAAAGAGAAAAAAAUGAGCUAAAACGAGCAAAUAAGGAUUGAAAGGCGACUACAAUCCUAAGUGCUAGAAUCUGCCUAUGCAGAACAGCCAACUUUGCCGAAUUACAGGGAAUUACUCGGAUUGAAUCAGACUAUGAGCCUUAUAUCAUUGGAAAGCUAUGGAAGCCUACUUUCUGUAGAAUUUUACGGAUCUCGAUUUCGAUACUUAUGGACUGAGUUAUGAUCAUUUGAAUGAAGAUAGGUCAGAUCAGAAAAUCUGC